CAGGUCUCUCUCCCUCCUCCCCGCGCCAGGGGACGGCAGCCAAGUGACGGGAUAGUGAUUCAUCAGGGGCCCGUGACAGCUGCACAGGGGCUCACUCCUCCCCCGGCUCGGCUCGGCUCGGCUCGGCUCGGCUCGGCUCGGCUCGGCUCGGCUCGGCUCGGCUGCACCCCGCAAAGGUGAAGCAUGACUCAAGCCGUCUGUCACUGCGCAGAACUGCUGAGAGGGGAUGGCUGCUCAUUUCCAGACCCUUCCAGGCCUUGAGAAAACUCUGACAGCAGCGAGGUGCUUGGCUAAAAACUGCAUGUCAUAAGUUUGUGAGCAACAUGAAAACGCUGUGUGCGUACGUGUUCAUACACCUGAAAUUCUGUAAUGUGUCUGCACACACAUGUAUAUGUACUUUAACCAGUGAGUAUCCAUACAAAUGCUACUCGUUUAUUUGACACCCCAAAACAGUAGUCCGCACUCUGGCAGAUGCUUUGCGAACCAUCUCAGUAUGGGUUGGAAAAUAAAAUAAUCUUUAUACAUGGUAUCUAAUGUUAAAAACUUCCAAUGGUACACUGCACCACAUUUCCACUUCUCAUUCCAAAUUUCCCCCGGUGCUCAUUUUUAAAUUUAAACAAACUACACAAAACACAGUAUCAUUUUUUUUUCCCGGAAAUCUUUUAUCUCUUCCGCUUACCUCAGUUUUGAAUGUUUGCUUACAGAAGAAAGAAAACCACACCAAACCCCAAUCACCUCCAAAGAAGCAUUUUUAAGUGCACUAACACCUUUACUUUUCCAGAAUCAAUCUUGCACUGUAAAGGGCAGUCCUUCCUCUUGGUGUUUGAAACACCAAGAGAAUGUUUGGUGGGUCUUGGUUGCUCAAAAGGAAGACAUUAAUUUAACGAGACUUCAGAAGGUCUUUAACUUCCUUGUUCUAAGAUCACCGUUCUGAAUAAGCCACCUAAAAUGUCAAUAAACGUCGGAUAUUUCA
Molecule: long non-coding RNA, 973 nt
Organism: Haemorhous mexicanus (house finch)
Lineage: Eukaryota; Metazoa; Chordata; Aves; Passeriformes; Fringillidae
Exons: 2
Source: RefSeq, a predicted model, not a curated record